UACGUGAAACCGUUCAGGGGUAAACCUAAGAAACCCAAAAGAUCGAACGGGGAGAUUCAUCGUCAGCGGCGCUGGCUUCGCGUCGGUGGGCGAUGUCCCGCGGAGUCCUCGCGGCUCGCGCGCGGGCACGCUACCGUGCGUCGAUGUCCGGCGCUCGUCGUCGUGCACUUCUCCCCAAGUAGAACGUCGCGACCCGCUGGGUGUCGGUCUACGGCCCGGGUGCGGUGACUGUCGCGUCGCCGGUAAAACGGCACGCGACAAACCCCCGGUCGCCCGGCCGGCUGCUCGGCGGUACGCGCAUGGUAUCAGGCCGCACUAUUUUACGGUGCGUCGAGGCCGUCGCAAGCGCGCGCCACGGUACUCGGAGGUUACGGACUUUGCGCCGUCCCCGGUCCUGGUCCGCUGUUGGUUAAAGUACGGUUCACCUUCGACAGGCCUGCGAACGUCUCUCCCCGGAGAGACCGAUACCGGUCGGCGACGCUACUGCUUUGGGUACUCUUAGGACCCGUCUUGAAACACGGACCAAGGAGUCUAACAUGUACGCGAGUCAUUGGGACUUGUCGCGAGACCUAAAGGCGUAAUGAAAGUGAAGGUCGGCCCUGGCCGUCGACCGAGGGAGGAUGGGCCGCGUCGCGAUGCGGCCUCGCACUCCCGGGGCGUCUCGUUCUCAUCGCGAGAAGAGGCGCACCCAGAGCGUACACGUUGGGACCCGAAAGAUGGUGAACUAUGCCUGGUCAGGACGAWRUCAGGGGAAACCCUGAUGGAGGUCCGUAGCGAUUCUGACGUGCAAAUCGAUCGUCGGAACUGGGUAUAGGGGCGAAAGACUAAUCGAACCAUC
RNAcentral lists this ribosomal RNA (838 nucleotides) under Formicidae sp. NZAC 03013613. Its description in RNAcentral is "eukaryotic LSU rRNA". It matches the Rfam family "Eukaryotic large subunit ribosomal RNA", at positions 396 to 944 of the family's 3401-position model. The record is from RNAcentral. Lineage: Eukaryota; Metazoa; Arthropoda; Insecta; Hymenoptera; Formicidae.